GGAGGAGUACCCAAGUGGCCAAAGGGGACAGACUGUAAAUCUGCUGGCUUUGCCUUCGAUGGUUCGAAUCCAUCCUCCUCCACCA
RNAcentral lists this transfer RNA (85 nucleotides) under Bacillota bacterium. Its description in RNAcentral is "Firmicutes bacterium (chicken gut metagenome) tRNA-Tyr". It matches the Rfam family "tRNA". Rfam says of the family: Transfer RNA (tRNA) molecules are approximately 80 nucleotides in length. Their secondary structure includes four short double-helical elements and three loops (D, anti-codon, and T loops). The record is from RNAcentral. Lineage: Bacteria; Bacillati; Bacillota. RNAcentral also lists the same sequence under 5 other names.